UUUCCAGAUUAUGUGGUGCAGGAAGAGAAAAUACGCAUUCCCAAGGGUGCAUCCAGCAAAGGUGCAUGGGCAUAAACAAAGGCCCAUGUCCGAAGUAUAUAUGAAAUUGGAGGUGUAUACAACAUGAUUGUGGGCCAAAAGGUCCAGAGCCACAAUAGGCCAUGCUGAAUAGAAUGAAGAGUAUUGACGAAAUGGAGUGGUGACUCAUCAAGGCCACUGACAUGUGCGCAUUUGCCCAGGAAAUGGACACGUUAAACAUGUGAGUCACGCGUUGAAGAAAAACUCAGAAUUAAAGUUCAAAUGUGAUUCUCUCUCCAUAGGACUCAGCUUCUCUCCGUCGCGUCGGAAUUCGUCACGGGGGUGGCGGAGUCUAAACUACCAAAACCAAACGUCAAUCUCCUCGUUUCCACACCCUGGUCCUAAAUCCACCCUCAAUUUCCCCCCAAUUAUGAAUGAAUCAACUAAACCGAAGUCAUUUCUUUUCUGAACCCUAAAUGCUAAAACACGAAUUAAAUGAUGCUCAUGAUCUAAAGAUCAAACCAUAGGGCUUUGGCUCCCAAGAUGAGGCACUACAUUGUUGAUAUCUGUAGAUUGGAGAAAAAAAGUGGAAAAGAAUUACCUACUGGAGCAACUCCGGUGGUUCUUCGUCCGUGAAAAGAAGGUUCAGGUAACACAUUCUUCCUUGUUCAACCUCUACUUCAUGCCUUCUUCUUCUCGUUCAUCACUCUAUUGCGCUUAUAUUGUUGUUCUGAGAGUUGUGUAAAAUGAGGAUUUGUGAGAGAAUUUGAAUGUGAGUGAGAGAUUAUGGAGAGAGUUCGUAAAUGAAUUAGAGAGUGAAAGGUGAAUUUCUGAAUAAAAAACUGAAUCAAUCGAAGAGUGAGCAUGGAAGCUAUAUAUAUAUAUAUAGAUAUAUAUAUAUGUGUGUGUGAUUCGAUCCGUUAAUUCUGUUAAUUCCUUCGGUGCAAAAGUUAUUGAACGUUUGUUAACAGGGUUAAAGGUUGUUAAUUGUUAGUUAGAAGGAUUGUUAACUGUUAGUUAGAAGUUAGUUUCAAUUACUCGAAUCCUGUCAGUUAGGUUGCCUGGAAUUAAAUCAGUUAAAUGAGAGUUUUGUUAGCAUGGUUUUUUCUGUUAUUGUUAGCAAUAUUGUCAGUUAUUGAUCUGUGGUUAGUUGUAAAUAAUGGUUAGUAGUAGCUGCUGAAAUCGGUUUUGUGGAUGUCUCUGUUUCUGUUAAUUAUGCAUUGCCUUCUUGAUGUGGUAUACUGAUAUGAAAGUUUUCAUCUGCAUGUUACGCAUUGAUGGUUGUUAAUGUUAUGUAAGGUUAAAUUGGUUGUUUGUUGGUUGCUGCAAAAUGUUACGAAAUACUGAAAAAUGUUGAUGGUUGUUAAGUUAGGUUAGUGUUUUUUUUUUUUCCAGCAGAUGCAAUAUGGGAGCCAUUUGAUACUACAUCUGUCUCAUAAAAAAUGUCUUAUUUGAACAAUUCAUGGUUCUUAAGGAAAUGAUUGGAUAUGUUGGUUUUGAUGAUAAAUUAAGACCAUUUACUAGAAUAUCCCUAUUAAUUGUAGUUAAAAGAGUGGUUGAAUAAAGUGAAAGUUAAUAAAUAGGGGUAUGAUAGUGGAAAAAUAAUAAUAAAUGAUACAUUGAUAUUAUAAAAGGACAAUUAUUUUGAGACAAAGAAAAAGUGCAAAUGAGACAAUUUUUAUGAGACGGAGGGAGUAACUCGGUUGAGAUGUCCAAGUCACUCCAUCAUGUGAAGAGAUUAGAUGCAAAUGGCCCAAGCGGUUCAGUAGUUGCCCCUCUCGGGCUUUCCAACGAUUCAAUAGUGCUUCACGAAAUAUAUUAUUUAAAAUAUUGCCAAACAUAUUAUGUGUAUUCAAUUUCCGUCUCUUAGGAACUCUCGCUUUAAGUGAAUGUAAUGAUGACGACAAUGGUUUGCAAAUCUAAAUGAGCAAGAUGAUCUCAAUCUUCAAGCAUAGGCAUCUUGGAAAACACAUCAUAACCUUUGAAAGCCUUGGAGCAGCAUUUCUGACUUUCCAUUGGUUGGAAUUGAAUUGGCUUUGGGAUAUGAACUCGACAUGUUGUAAUUUUUAUAAUUUGAAAUUGAAAUAUGAAUGUUGGUUUGUUGUAUUUGAAUUUGUGAAUGAAAAUGUGAAAUCGAAUGAAAUAAUUUGAAUUGAAGAUGUUGUAUGGUUUGAAUGAAAAAUGGAGGGAAUGGAAUUUGGAAGUUGAAUUAAUGAUUGGUUUGAUGGGUUUGAAGAUGGAAAUUGAGAUCUUGAUUGAAUAUGUAUGGAAUUUGGUUUAUGUAGAAUAUACUUGAAUGAAUUUGGAAGUGGAAUUGGCUUGAAAGGUUUAUGUAUUGUAAUGUUUUUU
RNAcentral lists this long non-coding RNA (2367 nucleotides) under Lathyrus oleraceus (garden pea). RNAcentral's name for it is "Pisum sativum (pea) long non-coding RNA (PSAT_LNC004055)". Lineage: Eukaryota; Viridiplantae; Streptophyta; Magnoliopsida; Fabales; Fabaceae. The record is from RNAcentral.